AUACGUAGGGGGCGAGCGUUGUCCGGAAUUAUUGGGCGUAAAGAGCGUGUAGGCGGUUCGGUAAGUCUGCCGUGAAAACCCAGGGCUCAACCCUGGGCGUGCGGUGGAUACUGCCGGGCUAGAGGGUGGUAGAGGCGAGUGGAAUUCCCGGUGUAGCGGUGAAAUGCGCAGAUAUCGGGAGGAACACCAGUAGCGAAGGCGGCUCGCUGGGCCAUACCUGACGCUGAGACGCGAAAGCGUGGGGAGCAAACAGGA
Molecule: ribosomal RNA, 255 nt
Filed under: uncultured prokaryote
Description: partial 16S ribosomal RNA
Rfam family: Bacterial small subunit ribosomal RNA
Source: RNAcentral